Molecule: ribosomal RNA, 222 nt
Filed under: Staphylococcus aureus
Lineage: Bacteria; Bacillati; Bacillota; Bacilli; Caryophanales; Staphylococcaceae
Description: partial 16S ribosomal RNA
Rfam family: Bacterial small subunit ribosomal RNA
Source: RNAcentral
UUUUAUGGAGAGUUUGAUCCUGGCUCAGGAUGAACGCUGGCGGCGUGCCUAAUACAUGCAAGUCGAGCGAACGGACGAGAAGCUUGCUUCUCUGAUGUUAGCGGCGGACGGGUGAGUAACACGUGGAUAACCUACCUAUAAGACUGGGAUAACUUCGGGAAACCGGAGCUAAUACCGGAUAAUAUUUUGAACCGCAUGGUUCAAAAGUGAAAGACGGUCUUG